UAGGAAUCUUCCACAAUGGACGCAAGUCUGAUGGAGCAACGCCGCGUGAGUGAAGAAGGUUUUCGGACCGUAAAGCUCUGUUGUUGGUGAAGAAGGAUAGAGGUAGUAACUGGCCUUUAUUUGACGGUAAUCAACCAGAAAGUCACGGCUAACUACGUGCCAGCAGCCGCGGUAAUCGUAGGUGGCAAGCGUUGUCCGGAUUUAUUGGGCGUAAAGCGAGCGCAGGCGGAAGAAUAAGUCUGAUGUGAAAGCCCUCGGCUUAACCGAGGAAUUGCAUCGGAAACUGUUUUCUUGAGUGCAGAAGAGGAGAGUAGAACUCCAUGUGUAGCGGUGGAAUGCGUAGAUAUAUGGAAGAAUACCAGUGGCGAAGGCGGCUCUCUGGUCUGCAACUGACGCUGAGGCUCGAAAGCAUGGGUAGCGAACAGGAUUAGAUACCCUGGUAGUCCAUGCCGUAAACGAUGAGUGCUAAGUGUUGGGAGGCUUCCGCCUCUCAGUGCUGCAGCUAACGCAUUAAGCACUCCGCCUGGGGGAGUACGACCGCAAGGUUGAAAC
Molecule: ribosomal RNA, 552 nt
Filed under: uncultured bacterium
Lineage: Bacteria
Description: partial 16S ribosomal RNA
Rfam family: Bacterial small subunit ribosomal RNA
Source: RNAcentral